AUUAGACGAAUCAUCUGGAAAGAUGAAUCAAAGAAGGUAAUAAUCCUGUAGUCGAAAAUGUUGUCUCUCUUGAGUGGAUCCUGAGUACGACGGAGCACGUGAAAUUCCGUCGGAAUCUGGGAGGACCAUCUCCUAAGGCUAAAUACUCUCUAGUGACCGAUAGUGAACCAGUACCGUGAGGGAAAGGUGAAAAGCACCCCGGAAGGGGAGUGAAAUAGAACCUGAAACCGUGUGCUUACAAGUAGUCA
Molecule: ribosomal RNA, 248 nt
Filed under: Staphylococcus aureus
Lineage: Bacteria; Bacillati; Bacillota; Bacilli; Caryophanales; Staphylococcaceae
Description: partial 23S ribosomal RNA
Rfam family: Bacterial large subunit ribosomal RNA
Source: RNAcentral